AUGAAAGUUCUUUUCCCGCAAAAAAAAAAAAGAAUCAUUGGCCAGCAGCCUCGAAUCAUCAGCAUGGCGUCUGCCGCCCGUCGUCCCACGGUGCUCCUGCAGAUCGCUCUCUUCGUCGUCAUCGCGGCGGUCAUCAUCAACAGCUCCGUCUGCCUUGGGGCCGUUGUAGUAGGUCCUGGUACUCUCGACCCUAACCGCCCCGCUUUCCCGUCGCCGGGUGGUGGUGGUAAACCCUACACCGGCGGCGGCCGUGGGUGCCGCACAAUUUAUGGAUGUGGUGAUGUGCCACCGGCAGGUGGCCAACCCUGA
This 309-nucleotide ribosomal RNA is filed under the name Triticum aestivum (bread wheat). Its description in RNAcentral is "partial small subunit ribosomal RNA". Lineage: Eukaryota; Viridiplantae; Streptophyta; Magnoliopsida; Poales; Poaceae. The record is from RNAcentral.